RNAcentral lists this transfer RNA (75 nucleotides) under Hyphomicrobiaceae bacterium. Its description in RNAcentral is "tRNA-Thr". It matches the Rfam family "tRNA". Rfam says of the family: Transfer RNA (tRNA) molecules are approximately 80 nucleotides in length. Lineage: Bacteria; Pseudomonadati; Pseudomonadota; Alphaproteobacteria; Hyphomicrobiales; Hyphomicrobiaceae. The record is from RNAcentral.
GCUGGUGUAGCUCAGUAGUAGAGCGGCUGCCUUGUAAGCAGCGGGCCGGGGGUGCGAUUCCCUCUACCAGCUCCG